UACAUUAGUAAUGUCUGUCAACUCCAUGAUAUUUUCUGUCAAACAUGGUGUUUCCUCCAAAACAUAUUGGGAUACAAAUCUGGCAUUAAUCAGACAUAUAACAAUUGUAGACAUGUAAAGGAUGCUGUGUCCUGGAGAUGGUACUUCUGCAGUUGUUUUCAUCAGGGCUGUCAAUAUAAUUUUAAGUUGCAUAACAAAUUGGAACGUAAAUGUUAAUAAUUUAUUAUACUUCUUUGCAGCAACCACCACAACAACUCCACCAAGUAAGAACUUGCCACUGACAACAAAAUGUUAACUUUAUAUCAACUUUGGUCGUUCUAUAAAAUAUCUUUAUAUUAUGACUAUUAGCCUAGUAGAAACCUGUCAAUACUUUUUUCCUGUGUUUAUUGGUACUUCCCCUUUCUCAAUAUUUACUGAGAUACAAAUCUAGCCUUAACACCAAAAAUAUUUGUGUCCUGGAGAUGGCACUUCUCCAAUUGUCCAUUCAAAUCUCCAAUUGAAUAAUGCUGUCAAUAUCAUUUUAAGCUGAAGGACAAAUUGGAAGUCAUAUGGUAAUAACUUACUAAACUUGUUUUUUCAGCAACCACCACAACAACUCCACCAACAACCACCACAACAACUCCACCAACAACAACAACUUCUGUGACAACAACUCCUCCAACCACUUCACAUACCACAGUGUGUUCCUGUUUUUACAAUGGAACCGUAUAUACACCAG
This is a long non-coding RNA of Xenopus laevis (African clawed frog), 718 nucleotides long. RefSeq lists it as uncharacterized. The transcript is spliced from 3 exons. The record is from RefSeq and is a predicted model, not a curated record. Lineage: Eukaryota; Metazoa; Chordata; Amphibia; Anura; Pipidae.